This 253-nucleotide ribosomal RNA is filed under the name uncultured bacterium. RNAcentral's name for it is "partial 16S ribosomal RNA". It matches the Rfam family "Bacterial small subunit ribosomal RNA", at positions 524 to 776 of the family's 1533-position model. The record is from RNAcentral.
UACGGAGGAUCCGAGCGUUAUCCGGAUUUAUUGGGUUUAAAGGGUGCGUAGGCGGUUUGAUAAGUUAGAGGUGAAAUGUCGGGGCUCAACCCCGAAACUGCCUCUAAUACUGUUGGACUAAAGGAUAGUUGCGGUAGGCGGAAUGUAUGGUGUAGCGGUGAAAUGCUUAGAGAUCAUACAGAACACCGAUUGCGAAGGCAGCUUACCAAACUAUAUCUGACGUUGAGGCACGAAAGCGUGGGUAGCAAACAGG